CUGCUAUGUGGAUAUUUGGUAGCAAUGACUGAUGUGGAAACUACAUAUGCAGAUUUUAUUGCUUCAGGAAGAACAGGUAGAAGAAAUGCAAUACAUGAUAUCCUGGUUUCCUCUGCAAGUGGCAACAGCAAUGAAUUAGCCUUGAAAUUAGCAGGUCUUGAUAUCAACAAGACAGGUAAAAGGUGAAGAAGAUGCACAACGAAGUUCUACAGAACAAAGUGGGGAAGCCCAGGGAGAAGCAGCAAAAUCUGAAAGCUAACACCCCACUUUGACCCUCGACCACACCUGAAAAUGUCUCAAAUCUCCAGGAGUAUCUGGAAUGCAUUUGUUUCCAUGAGUGAAAAGAGGAAAAAGAAAAUGGCUGUGCUGCAUUGCAGGAACCUGCUCAUUAUCAUGUUAAAAAUGAGGGCAGAGGCUGUGGCUGCAGGCAGACUUUUCCCUACCUCUGUCAUUAGCAAUGGUUGAAAUCAUGUGGCUUGUGUUUGGGCGUCAUUUUUGUAUGGAUCCUUUCACUUGAUCAUAUGACGAAAUGCUUAUAGAGAGUAGCUCCGACCUAGAUGAUGAUUCUUCCUGUAGCAUCUGGCCCCUCACAAUGUCAGAGGAUUUAAUUGUGUCUAAUUGCGAAGGGUUGAUUGAACCCCAGAGUUUAAAUAUCUCUGGCUCAAGUGUUCACCCAGUAAAAGAAAGAUCCAGAAAGCACUGUUUUUAGCAUUACGUAUCUGUGUGUUACUGCUGUGUUAUUUACACUGUUUUGUAUUGUACAAUAUAUAUGCUCAGCACUGCCCCCUUCUCUGAUUGCUUAUGAAAAACAAAAUGAUGUACAUUACUGUGAAUUUUUAUACCACUCAUUUUUAAAAGGGCUGUCUUUUCAUUUUAGUUUUCCAUACUGUGGUGGUGUACACAGGAUAGAACACCCUUUUUUAAAACACAGUCUUUCCCCUUGCUCAUUGUAUGUUGAUGAGUUGAUUAAGUCUAACAGAUUCAUCAAGACUCCAUUGCUUUAUUAUAGAGACAUUUGAAAAUAUCCAUUAAUGUGAAUAUCACCUGAAUUCAGUCUGUUUGGUGUCUGCACAGACUGGAAUUCAAUCUGUCAAAUUUGUUUUAUUCUCAAGUGGAGAACUUCUCCCACAUAAUAUAUAUAUAUAUAUAUAUUUUAAUUUAUGAGAAUUUUGGACAAUUGGAAAGGUAGAAAAGAAAAGCCAAGAUCAUACUAAGGACUGGAAAUAUUUUGUUCUAUGGAAUCAAAUUUCUCACAAUGCUGUAUGAUACUAUUUAAAUUUGGAGGACAACUUAUCUUCACUAAGCUGAAUCAGGUGGAGAAAGUAAUCUCCUUGCAAUCAUGUGGACACCAAUCACAAAAGUAAAGCCCUGGUGUUGUGUUUUCAUGUCUUUUUUCAGCCCUCUCAGAUCCAAAUGUUAUUAUGCACUUUUUAAUGUUUGUAAACUUUUACUAAUAAUUAGUGUGAAUUGCAUUCUGAUACAAUAAUGAUUAUCAUUAGAAGCUAACAAAAUUCUCAUUAAUACUGUGUUUGAUGGCCUCUGCUGUGUUUUAACAUCGUGCUUCUUAUAUGGAAAGUUUUUGUGAGCUGUGUAAUCCCUCUGGUCAGUAUUAUGAAAUCAUUUG
RNAcentral lists this long non-coding RNA (1624 nucleotides) under Homo sapiens (human). RNAcentral describes it as "long non-coding RNA NONHSAT216002.1". The record is from RNAcentral. Lineage: Eukaryota; Metazoa; Chordata; Mammalia; Primates; Hominidae.